UACGGGGGGGGCAAGCGUUGUUCGGAAUUACUGGGCGUAAAGGGGACGUAGGCGGCCAACUAAGUCCGACGUGAAAUCCCAAGGCUUAACCUUGGAACUGCGUCGGAUACUGGAUGGCUUGAAUUCGGGAGAGGGAUGCAGAAUUCCAGGUGUAGCGGCGAAAUGCGUAGAUAUCUGGAGGAACACCAAUUGCGAAGGCAGCUCGCUGGGACGUUACUGACGCUGAGACGCGAAAGCGUGGGGAGCAAACAGG
This 253-nucleotide ribosomal RNA is filed under the name uncultured bacterium. Its description in RNAcentral is "partial 16S ribosomal RNA". It matches the Rfam family "Bacterial small subunit ribosomal RNA", at positions 524 to 776 of the family's 1533-position model. The record is from RNAcentral.